GAAUGUUUUCAAGCUUAUUUCUAUUUGUAGAUCGAUUGUGAUAUACAUGAAAACAGAAUCGUGAAGAGAUCCAACUCAUUGGUGGAACAACUGAUAAAAGUACAGAGUCAAAUACUGUUGGAGUACUGUCGUAAUAAUUCCCACAUAUGUCCAGAUAAUGAGUCACGUGAUUGUAAAUGCAAUGAGGCGCCUUUGAUCCAGAACUCAACAAAUCGUAUGUAUGCAACAAAUAAAACACACCUACUCAUCCCGUGUCACGUUACCGGAUAUCCACUGCCUUAUGUCACGUGGACAGUGAACGGAAGUAGAAUAUCGAGCAAUAACAAAUUUCUAGUCAGAGAAGAUGGACUUAUGAUACAACGUGUGACGUAUACUGAUCAUGGACGUUAUACAUGUACUGCACGUAAUAUUGUAGGAAUAAAUAGCAAUACGGUGACUUUGGACAUUAUACAAUCAAUUUAAACAUAUCUUUUUCAGAUAGAUGUUCAGUUGUAUAUUUGUUUGUUUAUGUA
Molecule: long non-coding RNA, 512 nt
Organism: Mytilus trossulus (common blue mussel)
Lineage: Eukaryota; Metazoa; Mollusca; Bivalvia; Mytilida; Mytilidae
Exons: 3
Source: RefSeq, a predicted model, not a curated record